UGGGGAAUUUUGGACAAUGGGCGCAAGCCUGAUCCAGCCAUUCCGCGUGCAGGACGAAGGCCUUCGGGUUGUAAACUGCUUUUGUACGGAACGAAAAGCCCUUCUCUAAUACAGAGGGGUCAUGACGGUACCGUAAGAAUAAGCACCGGCUAACUACGUGCCAGCAGCCGCGGUAAUACGUAGGGUGCGAGCGUUAAUCGGAAUUACUGGGCGUAAAGCGUGCGCAGGCGGUUAUAUAAGACAGAUGUGAAAUCCCCGGGCUCAACCUGGGAACUGCCUUUGUGACUGCAUAGCUAGAGUACGGUAGAGGGGGAUGGAAUUCCGCGUGUAGCAGUGAAAUGCGUAGAUAUGCGGAGGAACACCGAUGGCGAAGGCAAUCCCCUGGACCUGUACUGACGCUCAUGCACGAAAGUGUGGGGAGCAAACA
This 427-nucleotide ribosomal RNA is filed under the name uncultured bacterium. Its description in RNAcentral is "bacterial SSU rRNA". It matches the Rfam family "Bacterial small subunit ribosomal RNA", at positions 355 to 774 of the family's 1533-position model. The record is from RNAcentral.